UGGGGAAUAUUGCACAAUGGGCGCAAGCCUGAUGCAGCGACGCCGCGUGAGGGAUGACGGCCUUCGGGUUGUAAACCUCUUUCAAUAGGGACGAAGCGGAAGUGACGGUACCUAUAGAAGAAGCACCGGCCAACUACGUGCCAGCAGCCGCGGUAAUACGUAGGGUGCGAGCGUUGUCCGGAAUUACUGGGCGUAAAGAGCUCGUAGGUGGUUUGUCGCGUUGUUCGUGAAAACCUGAGGCUUAACCUUGGGCGUGCGGGCGAUACGGGCAGACUGGAGUACUGCAGGGGAGACUGGAAUUCCUGGUGUAGCGGUGGAAUGCGCAGAUAUCAGGAGGAACACCGGUGGCGAAGGCGGGUCUCUGGGCAGUAACUGACGCUGAGGAGCGAAAGCGUGGGGAGCGAACAGGAUUAGAUACCCUGGUAGUCCACGCCGUAAACGGUGGGUACUAGGUGUGGGUUUCCUUCCUUGGGAUCCGUGCCGUAGCUAACGCAUUAAGUACCCCGCCUGGGGA
This 514-nucleotide ribosomal RNA is filed under the name uncultured bacterium. RNAcentral's name for it is "bacterial SSU rRNA". It matches the Rfam family "Bacterial small subunit ribosomal RNA", at positions 355 to 879 of the family's 1533-position model. The record is from RNAcentral.